This 475-nucleotide ribosomal RNA is filed under the name uncultured bacterium. RNAcentral describes it as "bacterial SSU rRNA". It matches the Rfam family "Bacterial small subunit ribosomal RNA", at positions 29 to 480 of the family's 1533-position model. The record is from RNAcentral.
AACUAACGCUGGCGGCGUGCCUAACACAUGCAAGUCGUACGAGAAAGUUGGCUUCGGCCGAUGAGUACAGUGGCGCACGGGUGAGUAACGCGUGGAUAAUCUGCCCUUAAGUGUGGAAUAACGUACCGAAAGGUGCGCUAAUACCGCAUAAUGCCUGGCAACAUAAGUUGUCCGGCCAAAGAAGGCCUCUGCUUGCAAGCUUUCGCUAAAGGAUGAGUCCGCGUACCAUUAGCUAGUUGGUGGGGUAACGGCCUACCAAGGCGACGAUGGUUAGCUGGUCUGAGAGGAUGAUCAGCCACACUGGAACUGAGACACGGUCCAGACUCCUACGGGAGGCAGCAGUGAGGAAUAUUGCGCAAUGGGGGCAACCCUGACGCAGCAACGCCGCGUGAGUGAGGAAGGUUUUCGGACUGUAAAGCUCUGUCGAGCGGGAAGAAGUGUACCAUGGCUAAUAUCCAUGAUAUUUGACGUACCG